AGCAUGUAGAUAAAUGCACUUGAUGAAGAAUCCAUAAGAAUAUUAAUUCCUAAGUUAUCACUCAGUCUAUAUAACCAUUUGUAAAAGAGGAAAAUGUCAUUUCACUGAUUUAGCUGUUCAAGAAUUCUAAUAUUUCUCAUUUUAUAAGAAAAAGUAGAAGAAACAGGUUAGGAAAACUAAACCGAAGUAUGACAGUGCUAGAAGAAACAGAAAUUGUUAAGUAAAUGCUGGAGUUGCAUUUCACAUUGCAUCCCACAUGGUGUUUUGGAGAGCUACCACCCUGAUCUGCCUGCUGGAGAGAAGUUUGUCCUUAACCCAGAGCUUCAAAGUUUGCCAAGACUUGGGGGCUGAGGGCCAGAAACCAACCAGGAGAUGGGGUACCAAGGUAACCUGGAGACAACCCUCCUCCAAUGCACGUGGACACCUCUCCAAUCCAGUAACAUUUUAUUAGGCAUAUUUGAUUAAUCAGGCUUAACCAACAGCACAUUGGGUAGAGGGAAGAGGGGAGGAAGGCAGAGGAAUUCUAGAAGGAAAUUGAGUGAGUUCCGUAUAAUCUGCAAAAGAGUUCCUUCUGGCAGUUUGUGAAACAAGAGAUAUGUGAUGAAGUAACAUUCUAACCAGGACGUUGCACCUUGGCAGCCUGUCUUCUGUCUCUGGGACUUGGGGCAUGUGGGAGAUCCAAGGGGUGGGCUCAGGUGUUCAGGUUCGGGAUGGUGUUGUGGAUUGAAUUGUGUCCCUUAAAAAAAGAUAUCUUGGCAUCUUAGUCCUAACCCCCAGUAAUUCAUAAUAUGACCUUAUUUAGAGAUAAGGUUUUUACAGAGGUAAUUAAGUUAAAAUGAGUUUAUUAGUGUCGUAUUAAUUCAGCAUGCCAGGCGUCCUGAUAAAACGGGGACAUUUGGACACAGACAUGCCCACAGGAAGCACUCCAUAUGAAGAUAAAGGCAGAUGUUGGGAGGCUGUGCCUGCAAGAUGAGGAAAACCAAAGCUUAGCAGCAAACCAUGAGAAGCUGGAGAGAGGCAUGAAACAAAUUCUGCCUAACAGCCUCAGAAGGAACCAGCUCUGCCGACACCUUCAUCUAGGACUUCUAGCCUCCAGAACUGUCAGAGAACACAUUUCCACGGUUUAAGCCAAUCAGUCUGUGGUAGUUUUUGACACCAUCUCUAGCAAACAAAUACAGAGGGUGUCGUGAUAAAAGGCAUGGAUAUUCUCACUGCAUCACCCCACUUUCCUGUUUCCACCAUCCCCACAGCCUGGGCAGGGAGGAAGAGUGAGGUGGAGAGAGGUCAGGGACAAAAUUUGGGGAUCAGGCAUUCCCAGGUCCUCCAAAAUGAGUUUGGGAACCACUUGGCAACUUAGAUUCCUGUGUUUCAAAUAAACAUCUAGAAAUAACAUGACGAGUUCAGAUUUCUGCCUCUUUUCUUGUCAUCUAGUUUUUCUGUUUAUAACAACAAUGGUAAUAUGAAAAGUACAGUUGUAUGAUGUGAUUUGUUGAGGGAGCGGCACAGUUGCACAGGGUAAUUUGUGUGCAGAACACGUAUUAUCCCCACCACCACGGAAUGAAGGGGGUCUCAUUGGGCCCCUUUUGUGAAGCAGCUGACUUGUGUAGGAGGCAGUGACUUGUAUAAGGUAAAUGAUAGAACCACAGUUCAAGUUCAGGACUCUUGACUUGCUUGCAUGUAAGCUCUUGCCUCCUACCUGGAGGAUGAGUGCACCAAGGUCUGGCUGGGAUGGCCCAGAGAGUUCUGAAAGUACAAAUGCCUGAACCAUCCCCAGAGGGGCUGAACUAAUUGGUCUGGAAUGUGGUCUGGGUAGGGGGAGUUUUUGAGUCUUCCAGGUGGAGACCCACAACGGUAGGCAAACCAGCAAAGGAUUUUAGGUUGACAGCAGCCUGGAGAAGUUAGCUUAUUCAGAAGUUCUCAGUGGCUUGUGACAAUCCCCGGGGAAGCCGUUCCUAAAAUACAGAUUCCUGGGCCCUGCCCAGACAUACCAGAUCAGAAUUCCCAGGAGUGGAGUCCAGGAAUCUGUAUUUUACAAAAAGCCCAGAGGUCAUCUGAGGAUCACAUCGGUUUGGGAACUGGACCUAGUCCAUCCACUGUGCCUGUGGGGUGUGUUCUGGAGGGAGUCUAGGCAGUAAAGCACUCUGUUGUCUUCACUUAAAGCCUGUGCUUUAACACCUUACCCAGGAAACAAGGUCAUCUGCUUACUUCAAAGAUUCCAGGGGUAAAUAUAGUGUCACACUAGGAAGGACUCAGGACUCAAGACAGAGUAAACACUUCUUCACUCAGCAGCUGGGUACAACUCCCAGCCACCCAGGAACGCUCAUUUGGAAUUAAACAGAGACUUGCAGAAGUCCCCCAAAGAGCAGCAGUUUCCCAUUCCAUAGACCCACAGAAUACAGCCUUUUUUGAUAUCAUCUGUCUGAGUUCUUCAUUCUGCAAAUGAAGAAGUUGAAGCCAAUGAAGGUAUGGUCGUCUAAUCUCUGUGACGGGCAGAUCUAGGAUGCCCUCUGCAAUGGGCAGCUCCUAGUGCCAGCUGCUGUGUCCUUGUCAUUGUCUCUGUGUGUUUUUGACCCUGGACUCAUCUGGCUGCAAUUCACUGGCCACAUUUGUAGAUACAAUAUCUAUUUUUGAAGUGUUUUGGAAGAGUAAAUGAGAUAGUGAGCAUUAAAAGCACUUUAACACUUUAUAAAAUACUAGUUGUUACUGUUGAAAUGUCAGUUUGCAUUAGGGUGAUAUGGAAACUUAAGAUGGGGCACCAACUUUGAUUUGUACCUGUAAGAAUAGUCAUGUAACAAUGUUGUUUGUGGAUCUGAUUCCCUUUUGCCAGUCAUUUAAAAAUUUCCUAAUGUAAUGCCCUAUACAGUGAGUUAAGCUGAUUAGCUCUCUGUUCUUCUGGAGCUUCAAGCCAAGACAGAAAAUACUGGCAGUGGCAAAGAUGACUGGGCCAUUGGCCAGAGUGGAUCCAUUGAUAAAUCCAUUUUUAUGUCUUGCCCAAGCACUGUGGGAAACUGGAACAGAACUAUGAGACCUAUACUCUGCCAGUGUUCCAAAAAUCAGGACUUAGGCAUUCAUCAUGGCAAAUUUCUGCUGAGUUGGCCAUGUUAAUCUUUGGACAGAUCAGAUGUUUAAGAUCAUAUUCAAUUAUACAGCAAUCAUACAUUGGAAUAUGGGGAACUCAUUAUAAAUUAAGUUGUUGAAUAUUGAAUGACAUGGGAAUUUAUUUAUGACAACUGUUUUAGGUGCAAAAAGCAAGCUGCAACCUGGAAAUGUAUGUGCCAAAUGUUAAGAAUGAGUUUCUAGUGGAAGAAGGAGUGUCUUUUUAUUUUCAUCUUUGUAUCUCUUGACAUUUUUUAAAGAAAUGCUAAUUCUGCCAGAUGAAGUGUCUUGACGGAAGAGAUAACAGCGAAGGUGGGUCUUGAUGGAUGUGUAAGAGUUUGAAAAGGCAGAAGCACCGGGCGCGGUGGCUCAUGCCUAUAAUCCCAGCACUUUGGGAGGCCGAGGCAGGAGGAUCACAAGGUCAGGAGAUUGAGACCAUCCUGGCUAACAUGGUGAAACCCCGUCUCUACUAAAAUACAAAAAAAUUAGCUGGGCAUGGUGGCGGGUGCUUGUAGUCCCAGCUACUCCGGAGGCUGAGGCAGGAGAAUGGCGUGAACCUGGGAGGCGGAGCUUGCAGCGAGCCGAGAUCACGCCACUGCACUCCAGCCUGAGCGACAGAACGAGACUCCAUCUCAAAAAAAAAAAAAAAAAAAAAA
Molecule: long non-coding RNA, 3752 nt
Organism: Macaca fascicularis (crab-eating macaque)
Lineage: Eukaryota; Metazoa; Chordata; Mammalia; Primates; Cercopithecidae
Source: Ensembl